AGAGUUCGAUUCUGGCUCAGGAUGAACGCUAGCUACAGGCUUAACACAUGCAAGUCGAGGGGCAGCAUCAUCAAAGCUUGCUUUGAUGGAUGGCGACCGGCGCACGGGUGAGUAACACGUAUCCAACCUGCCGACAACACUGGGAUAGCCUUUCGAAAGAAAGAUUAAUACCGGAUGGCAUAGUUUUCCCGCAUGGGAUAAUUAUUAAAGAAUUUCGGUUGUCGAUGGGGAUGCGUUCCAUUAGGCAGUUGGCGGGGUAACGGCCCACCAAACCAACGAUGGAUAGGGGUUCUGAGAGGAAGGUCCCCCACAUUGGAACUGAGACACGGUCCAA
Molecule: ribosomal RNA, 334 nt
Filed under: uncultured bacterium
Lineage: Bacteria
Description: bacterial SSU rRNA
Rfam family: Bacterial small subunit ribosomal RNA
Source: RNAcentral